CCCCUACGGGGGGCAGCAGUGAGGAAUAUUGGUCAAUGGGCGGGAGCCUGAACCAGCCAAGUCGCGUGAAGGAAGAAGGUACUUAGUAUUGUAAACUUCUUUUGUCGGGGAACAAAGGCGGAGACGCGUCUCCGGAUGAGUGUACCCGAAGAAAAAGCAUCGGCUAACUCCGUGCCAGCAGCCGCGGUAAUACGGAGGAUGCGAGCGUUAUCCGGAUUUAUUGGGUUUAAAGGGUGCGCAGGCGGUCUGUUAAGUCAGCGGUCAAAGCCCGGGGCUCAACCCCGGUCCGCCGUUGAAACUGGCAG
RNAcentral lists this ribosomal RNA (305 nucleotides) under uncultured bacterium. RNAcentral describes it as "bacterial SSU rRNA". It matches the Rfam family "Bacterial small subunit ribosomal RNA", at positions 336 to 639 of the family's 1533-position model. The record is from RNAcentral.